Molecule: ribosomal RNA, 248 nt
Filed under: uncultured bacterium
Lineage: Bacteria
Description: partial small subunit ribosomal RNA
Rfam family: Bacterial small subunit ribosomal RNA
Source: RNAcentral
AGGACGAACGCUGGCGGCGUGCUUAACACAUGCAAGUCGAGCGGAAAGGCCCUUCGGGGUACUCGAGCGGCGAACGGGUGAGUAACACGUGAGUAAUCUGCCCCUAGCUCUGGGAUAGCUCCGGGAAACCGGGAUUAAUACCGGAUAUGACCACUUUAGACAUCUGCUGUGGUGGAAAGAAUUUCGGCUAGGGAUGAGCUCGCGGCCUAUCAGCUUGUGGUGGGUAACGCUACCAGGCGACGACGGUA